GGGCCAGUAGGUUGGUCGUGCCACCGGUACGUACUGGUCUCACUGAUUCCUCCUUCCUGAAGAACCGUAAUGCCAUUAAUUUGGUGUUGCGGGGAAACAGGACUGUUACUUUGAAAAAAUUAGAGUGUUUAAAGCAAGCUAACGCUUGAAUACAUUAGCAUGGAAUAAUGAAAUAGGACGAUCGAUCCUAUUUUGUUGGUUUCUAGGAUUGACGCA
This 216-nucleotide ribosomal RNA is filed under the name Glomeromycotina sp. RNAcentral describes it as "partial small subunit ribosomal RNA". The stretch from base 40 to 216 matches the Rfam family "Eukaryotic small subunit ribosomal RNA", at positions 686 to 864 of the family's 1831-position model. The record is from RNAcentral. Lineage: Eukaryota; Fungi; Glomeromycota.